UGGCACAUAGUAGCCUUCAUGGCAGUAGCACUCCGUCAUGGGGUGUCGGGGGUCGGAGGUUCAAAUCCUCUCGUGCCGACCA
Molecule: transfer RNA, 82 nt
Filed under: Escherichia coli
Lineage: Bacteria; Pseudomonadati; Pseudomonadota; Gammaproteobacteria; Enterobacterales; Enterobacteriaceae
Description: tRNA-Pro
Source: RNAcentral